Molecule: long non-coding RNA, 222 nt
Filed under: Elaeis guineensis (African oil palm)
Lineage: Eukaryota; Viridiplantae; Streptophyta; Magnoliopsida; Arecales; Arecaceae
Description: long non-coding RNA (EGUI_LNC003659)
Source: RNAcentral
CCAAAGGGCGCCUCAGCUAGGGGUUAACGGCUUCACAUGAUGGAAUAUGGAAGGGAUAACAGUAGGAGAUUGCAUACUGAAAAAUUGAUUGACUCUGGAGAAGGUCUGUAAGGUCUCUUGUAGAUUUAUCUUAUUCUGUCAAGUGUCUGUAAAGUUUUAUAUUUAUAAGCUGGCCUUCAGAUAUUAGGAGGCUGAGGUGGUGCUUAUGGUUCCUCUAUUCUA